Molecule: long non-coding RNA, 1228 nt
Filed under: Sus scrofa (pig)
Lineage: Eukaryota; Metazoa; Chordata; Mammalia; Artiodactyla; Suidae
Description: lncRNA (ENSSSCG00050034043.1)
Source: RNAcentral
AUGACUUCAUAAAGUAAAUAUUGAUUUCUCACUCACCAAGUAUCUGGUGCAGGCUGGCUAGCCCUUCUCUUUUUAUAGAUAUACCAUCUAGAACAAACGACCUUCAAGACAUUGAAGCAGGGAAAGAAGGAGAUGGAGGAGACACAUCAGCCAUUAAUGCUUCAGCUCGGGAGUGGCACAUGUCAUUUAGGCCCAUGGUCAAUGGCCAGAGCUAGUCACAUAGCCCCAACCUAGCUGGCAGGCAGGAUGGGAAACAUACAGGAGCACAUGGAAUAUUUGAUGAGUACUUGCUUUCACUUAUAGUAAAAAGAGGAGCUGCUUGUGUUUAAAGCCAGGGUGAACUUGCCUCUCAGUCUUCCUUUCCCUCUGUGAAAGCCCUGAAGACAGAGAUCCCCAGCUCCUCAAUUGCCGGCAUGAACCACCGCAUAUUAAAAGAUUUGCAACUGCAGUCUAGUUAGCUGUGUAGCAUUCUUGGGGAAUCAGCAAAAGAUUUCCUUCUCCAUAAAUAUCUCUCUCACUUAAUCUGGUACCUAAAACUUCCACUAUUAAUACUACUCUUUGGAUGCCACCUCAAUAUAUGCAUAUUUGCAAUAAAUUAAGGUGAUAAGUAAGUACUGGAGCCCUUUCAGGGAGCAGGGAUUGAGGAAUGGGAGAAUUGGGCUGAAGGUGUGCACUGGGGGGAGAGAAAGGAAAACUGGUGUCAGUGGGUCCUACAGAUCUGCAAGAGGGUCCUGAGGAUGUAGGAUGGGGGUUGGCCAGGAGUAGACAGGGCUUCCCAAGGAAGGGGAGAAGAGGCCUUUAGGGCAAUGAUCCAUGUUUUAUCUUUGCCAAGGGCCUGACCUAUUUUGGUCUCCAGGGCAACAACUCUUCAUCCAACUGCAUCCAAUAAGGUCACAAAUAUCUCUUUGGACUGAGUCUACUUUUGGAAGAUAAACUCAGAAAGAUCUGUCCAGCUAGACUGUAAUGAAGAGACAGAAAAAAGAUAAUCCAUGCAUGAUAUUUCAGAAUUUCUUCUUACUCUUUAUACAAAGCUUCAAGCCAGGAAAGAAGCAUCAAAUAUUGUUAACGGACACCUGCUCAAAGUAUGGAAGAGGAAUGGAAAUGAUGAACUCCCAAUUCAGGAGGAUACUUAGAGCAAUUCAGCAUCUAGAAGCCACUCAUUGCAUGGAGUAGGUGUUAAUAGACACUGCUGAAUAAAAUGAAUGAUCCAUUCUUUCUGGGGAAGGUG